RNAcentral lists this long non-coding RNA (1622 nucleotides) under Homo sapiens (human). RNAcentral's name for it is "long non-coding RNA NONHSAT161786". Lineage: Eukaryota; Metazoa; Chordata; Mammalia; Primates; Hominidae. The record is from RNAcentral.
AAAGACAAAAAGAAAAAUGCUGUGGCUAGAGGACAGGGGUGGAGAGAGGGAAAAAAAGGACAAAAAUAAACAAAACAUCAAAUAUGAAAAUUCUCAGAGAUAAUGCAUUUAUAAACACAGAAAUGGUUACAACAAAGAUGGCCGUGAUGAGUGAGUAUAAUAUAUUUAUAUAUAUAUAUUUAUAUAUAAAUCCGUGUCCGGCAUCUGACUGUGGCACCUAGGGAGCUAAGUCCAGUCCUUGCGUUUGCCUUGAACUCUCCCUUCUCCGCAACACCCCUGUUUUGGAGUUUCACAGAUAACACAAAGCCUCCCACAGCUCCUUGGGGGUGGGUUGGGGAGACUGAGAGUAUAGGGUCUUUGUAGGCAGAGAAGGAGAGAGGCUUCAAGGAAAUCCGUAAAACCAUAACACACACUUCUAAGCCACCUGUGACCAACUUGGGAAUUUCUGGCCCCUUGGGGACCACAUCUCAGCCCUUGCCCCCUUCAAAUAAAAGGAGGUCUAGCCCCUACCCCAAAUCUCCUUCUACCAGCAGUCAAUAGGAAGCAAAGUGAGACGAUGUAGGGGAAGAAAUGGCUCUCAGGGACUGAGGCAUUUGAGAAACCUCUGUUCUUUUGCAGGCAAGAAUAGAACAAGAGGCUGGUUGCAUUUGGGGCUCCCUUUUCUCUGUUAUCUGGGAGGGCCAGCCUCUAGUCUUACAUCAGCCCAAACUUUGAGGAUAAGGAGGGUAAGGAUAGGGUAAGUGGCCACACUGGACAAGGUUCUAUGAGGUCAUAGCAAAUCCUUCCCUUGAGCACCGACCCCCAGUUUUAGAAGCUUUGCUUGGGAGGGGAGGCUGCUGGAUGACACCAUCAGCUCAGUAUUCCUUUGCAAUCAGGAGGGCUGAUGUUCCUUUUGAAGAAGAGUUCAGAAAAAGGAUGGUAUCCUGUGAAGGAAAGCCGUGACAGAGGCCCAAGGAGAUGGAGCCAAGGCCUGUCAAGGAAGAAAAGGACUUUUCCCACCAAGAGUUGGAGAAAGAAGACACCAGGACUACUUCUUCCUCUUCCCAGUGGGUGGCAGCACGGAUCUCUAAGAGCUGGCCAGGUGCUCCACCUGGAUGGUGCUGGUGGUGACAGUGAGGCAGAUGUCCUUAUGAUGCUCCGCCGUCUUAUACGGGGUCAGGUCAAAGGAACACUGGGGUGGAGGGUUGGGAUUGCUGUCCCCACCACCCCCACCCUGGGGGGCUGCCCCAGGAGACUGGAAGUGUGGUGGUGGCUGUUGCUGCUGCUGCUGCUGCUGCUGCUGCUGCUGCUGCUGCUGCUGUGAUGCCUGGGAGGCCUGGGCCUGGGCCUGGGCUUGAGCCUGAGCCUGAGCCUGGGCUUGAGCUUGAGCCUGGGCCUGGGCCACUGCUGCCGCUGCUGCUGCUGCCUGCACCUGUUGCUGAAGAUCAGGCGGGUUGUGUUUGCGCAUAUGUUUCAUAAGGUAUGUUUCUGAUGUGUAUGCCCGACUGCAGAUAGUGCAGGUGUACACCUUGGCAUGCUUCACUGUGUGCGUAGACAGGUGCACCUCUAGUGAGGCUGCAUCCGUGUACGCCCGAUGACAGUUGUGGCACUUGAAGGGUUUAUCUUUGUUGUGUUGCCGUCUG